UACCAGCACCCCGAGUGGUCGGGACGUUUAUUGGGCCUAAAGCAUCCGUAGCCGGUUCUACAAGUCUUCCGUUAAAUCCACCUGCUUAACAGAUGGGCUGCGGAAGAUACUAUAGAGCUAGGAGGCGGGAGAGGCAAGCGGUACUCGGUGGGUAGGGGUAAAAUCCGUUGAUCCAUUGAAGACCACCAGUGGCGAAGGCGGCUUGCCAGAACGCGCUCGACGGUGAGGGAUGAAAGCUGGGGGAGCAAACCGG
Molecule: ribosomal RNA, 253 nt
Filed under: uncultured bacterium
Lineage: Bacteria
Description: partial 16S ribosomal RNA
Rfam family: Archaeal small subunit ribosomal RNA
Source: RNAcentral